RNAcentral lists this ribosomal RNA (320 nucleotides) under Staphylococcus aureus. RNAcentral's name for it is "bacterial LSU rRNA". It matches the Rfam family "Bacterial large subunit ribosomal RNA", at positions 1892 to 2138 of the family's 2925-position model. The record is from RNAcentral. Lineage: Bacteria; Bacillati; Bacillota; Bacilli; Caryophanales; Staphylococcaceae.
AAUCGAAUUCGCCGUGAAGAUGCGGUGUACCCGCGGCUAGACGGAAAGACCCCGUGAACCUUUACUGCAGCUUGACAUUGAACUUUGAUCUUACUUGUGCCCCAGUAAACGGCGGCCGUAACUAUAACGGUCCUAAGGUAGCGAAAUUCCUUGUCGGGUAAGUUCCGACCUGCACGAAUGGCAUAAUGAUGGCGGCGCUGUCUCCAGCAGAGGCUCAGUGAAAUCGAAUUCGCCGUGAAGAUGCGGUGUACCCGCGGCUAGACGGAAAGACCCCGUGAACCUUUACUGCAGCUUGACAUUGAACUUUGAUCUUACUUGUG